AUUUUGGACAAUGGGGGAAGCCCUGAUCCAGCCAUCCCGCGUGUGCGAUGAAGGCCUUCGGGUUGUAAAGUACUUUUGGCUGAGAAGAAAAGGUAUCCCCUAAUACGGGAUACUGCUGACGGUACCUGCAGAAUAAGCACCGGCUAACCACGCUCCAGCCGCCGCGGUAACACGUAGGGUGCAAGCGUUACUCGGAAUUACUGGGCGUAAAGCGUGUGUAGGCGGGUCGGAAAGAAAGUUGUGAAAUCCCAGGGCUCAACCUUGGAACUGCAUUUUUAACUGCCGAGCUAGAGUAUGUCAGAGGGGGGUAGAAUUCCACGUGUAGCAGUGAAAUGCGUAGAUAUGUGGAGGAAUACCGAUGGCGAAGGCAGCCCCCUGGGAUAAUACUGACGCUCAGACACGAAAGCGUGGGGAGCAAACAGG
This 423-nucleotide ribosomal RNA is filed under the name uncultured bacterium. Its description in RNAcentral is "partial 16S ribosomal RNA". It matches the Rfam family "Bacterial small subunit ribosomal RNA", at positions 361 to 776 of the family's 1533-position model. The record is from RNAcentral.